This 427-nucleotide ribosomal RNA is filed under the name uncultured bacterium. RNAcentral describes it as "partial 16S ribosomal RNA". It matches the Rfam family "Bacterial small subunit ribosomal RNA", at positions 355 to 774 of the family's 1533-position model. The record is from RNAcentral.
UGGGGAAUAUUGGACAAUGGGCGAAAGCCUGAUCCAGCCAUGCCGCGUGUGUGAAGAAGGUCUUCGGAUUGUAAAGCACUUUAAGUUGGGAGGAAGGGCAUUAACCUAAUACGUUAGUGUUUUGACGUUACCGACAGAAUAAGCACCGGCUAACUCUGUGCCAGCAGCCGCGGUAAUACAGAGGGAGCAAGCGUUAAUCGGAAUUACUGGGCGUAAAGCGCGCGUAGGUGGUUUGUUAAGUUGGAUGUGAAAGCCCCGGGCUCAACCUGGGAACUGCAUCCAAAACUGGCAAGCUAGAGUACGGUAGAGGGUGGUGGAAUUUCCUGUGUAGCGGUGAAAUGCGUAGAUAUAGGAAGGAACACCAGUGGCGAAGGCGACCACCUGGACUGAUACUGACACUGAGGUGCGAAAGCGUGGGGAGCAAACA